AUUGAACGCUGGCGGCAUGCCUUACACAUGCAAGUCGAACGGUAACGGGCCUUCGGGUGCUGACGAGUGGCGAACGGGUGAGUAAUACAUCGGAACGUGCCCGAUCGUGGGGGAUAACGAGGCGAAAGCUUUGCUAAUACCGCAUACGAUCUACGGAUGAAGGCAGGGGACCGCAAGGCCUUGCGCGGACGGAGCGGCCGAUGGCAGAUUAGGUAGUUGGUGGGAUAAAAGCUUACCAAGCCGACGAUCUGUAGCUGGUCUGAGAGGAUGAUCAGCCACACUGGGACUGAGACACGGCCCAGACUCCUACGGGAGGCAGCAGUGGGGAAUUUUGGACAAUGGGCGCAAGCCUGAUCCAGCCAUGCCGCGUGCAGGAUGAAGGCCUUCGGGUUGUAAACUGCUUUUGUACGGAACGAAAAGCCUUCUUUUAAUACAGGAGGGUCAUGACGGUACCGUAAGAAUAAGCACCGGCUAACUACGUG
Molecule: ribosomal RNA, 482 nt
Filed under: uncultured bacterium
Lineage: Bacteria
Description: partial 16S ribosomal RNA
Rfam family: Bacterial small subunit ribosomal RNA
Source: RNAcentral